This is a long non-coding RNA of Prionailurus viverrinus (fishing cat), 405 nucleotides long. RefSeq lists it as uncharacterized. The record is from RefSeq and is a predicted model, not a curated record. The transcript has 4 exons. NCBI's taxonomy places the organism in Eukaryota, Metazoa, Chordata, Mammalia, Carnivora, Felidae.
GUUGUUUGGUUCCCCCAAAGGAGGACAUGUCUAUACCAUCGGGAUAUCUCUGAAAUAAUGCAUCAGGAAUCCUGUAGAAGGAAGCCAAUUUGAAAGAAGACAAAUUUGGAUGUUAUUGAAAUAAUGGAAGAAAAAUACUGAUCUAAUGGGUGAAGAGGAGGCCUUGGAUCCAGGAACAUUUGCAAAAAGUUCCAUUUUAUUGCUCUUCUGUUGUCAUGGUUUCUGCCGUCUGGAUUAUCACCCUAUGAUCUCAAUACUUCAUACUUCUUGAAAACCUCUGAAACCAGAAGAUGAACAGCAAGGACUCACAAGGCCAACAUCUCCAGUGUUGAGUCAACAAAGGAAACUGCUGUUUUCCAGAUGGAGUACCCAAUCUAUUCCCAAGCCAUACUUCUCACAAAUGGU